RNAcentral lists this transfer RNA (118 nucleotides) under Siphoviridae sp. cta6m1. Its description in RNAcentral is "tRNA-Val". It matches the Rfam family "tRNA". From Rfam's summary of the family: Transfer RNA (tRNA) molecules are approximately 80 nucleotides in length. Their secondary structure includes four short double-helical elements and three loops (D, anti-codon, and T loops). Further hydrogen bonds mediate the characteristic L-shaped molecular structure. tRNAs have two regions of fundamental functional importance: the anti-codon, which is responsible for specific mRNA codon recognition, and the 3' end, to which the tRNAs corresponding amino acid is attached (by aminoacyl-tRNA synthetases). tRNAs cope with the degeneracy of the genetic code in two manners: having more than one tRNA (with a specific anti-codon) for a particular amino acid; and 'wobble' base-pairing, i.e. permitting non-standard base-pairing at the 3rd anti-codon position. The record is from RNAcentral. Lineage: Duplodnaviria; Heunggongvirae; Uroviricota; Caudoviricetes.
ACGGCAGUGGUGAAGCGGUAACACAACAGCCAUACAAAUGCGAAAAGUGGAUUUUCGCUAACAGCUAUUUCACAAUCCAAGCUGUCAAUCGUAGGUUCAAUUCCUACCUGCCGUUCCA